RNAcentral lists this long non-coding RNA (4601 nucleotides) under Capsicum annuum. RNAcentral's name for it is "long non-coding RNA (CANN_LNC001440)". The record is from RNAcentral. Lineage: Eukaryota; Viridiplantae; Streptophyta; Magnoliopsida; Solanales; Solanaceae.
UCUGAGUUAUUUCCUUAAGAUUGUUAUUUCGUAAUGUGUUCGGGUACACAGAAUCUGUAUAUGUGCAACAACAACUUCAACUUAGUUCAAUGUUUAAAAACAAGAACACUAUGAAGUACAGAAAAUACCCUCAACCCAAGAUCAAAGUUGUCUUUACAAGAGGUGUAUUUUAUUUUCAGAAAUUAAGAUGAAACAGAAAUGCCCAAGUCCUCCGAAUACAUGGAGUGUCUUUAAGGAAAUAAUUCCCCUCACUGUACCCGAGGUUGCGGAAUUUUCCUCUCAGGAUAAAAUGGUCUUCAAUCCAAUUAUAGCGGUACCUCAAAUAAUUGGAUUCCACGAACGCACUCAACGAUUUGAAUGAUCACACAGAAUAUUUUUAAGAGAAGAAGAGUUUUGUAUUCUGAAAUUUUCGUAUUCUAAACCUGUGGAUCAAAGUAGAUUUAUAUAGCCACAACAUGCCUCUUCUGAAAAGUGGCAAUGGUUCACUUUAGAGGUGUGCCUUUUCUGAAAAUUCAGAACAGACAUACCAUUUCACGUGAAACAACAUCCCUUUCGAGACAACACUUUGUUUCUGCAUGGCAUUUCAAAACUGUCAGAUAAACUUUGUCCAAAAAUAUAAAUCUCAUCAAUUGUUUGUCGAAUCUGAAUCUGAAUCCAAGCAAGCGACAACAACGAUAACACAAGGAAUUUCUUAUUUCUUGCCUCACUUAGCAUGUAGAGUAAGUGCUUUCUAUUAAAAGCACUCCAUAGUUCCCUUCUCCCACCAAUGUGGGAGAAUUAGUAAACUUUUCAAUUUGGGAGUACACCUUCUAAAUUGAUGUCUCCUUCCUUCCUCCAUUUUCUCUCCAUUUUCCAUUCACACUUCAUCCAUACAUAUUGAACCCAACAGUGCAGCCCAAUUCAUUACAUCCCAUGAAUCAUCGUAACAUGCUGGAAUUGGAUGCUCUGGUGCUAAUCUGUAAUUAAUUCAUACGACGAAUACAUUAGCCUGAGCUGUUAGCAUGUGGAGGUAACCAUCAUAACUGGGAGAAAAUGCCGAUUCUAUGCAAAAGCCUCCCCCGUGGAUGUAAAAUAGAAGAGGAGAUUUCUGAUUUUUUCGACUGAUUUUGGGCAGGUAAAGUCGGGCUGAUACAUUUUUUGAGGCAAAAUUGUAACGUCUUUGGAUUGAACUCCUGUUUUGGGAUUGUUUGAUGGAGGGACAAACUUGAUCUCUUCAUACCUAUGAACAGUUCCAUUAGCAUAAACUUGUAAAAAUGGAUACAAAUUCAGGGCUUUUCCUGCAAAGGUGGAAUUCAUACAUAGGCAGAUAGUGAUUAGAAAUAGUAAAGGAAAAUGAAGAUGAGGGGGAAAAUGUAGUGCCAUUAUUGUUGAAUUAUUGUAGCUAGUGAAUAAAAGAAUGGGACUUAGAUUUUAUAGAAGUUUGUGACUCAAAUGAGAGGAGCAACAGUAAGCAUGUGUGUUGGACAUUAAAGCGUGACAGAUUGAGUGCCGACGUGCCGUGAUAGACUCGCGAGGUGCUUUCAUUGACCUGCACAAAUUACAAGUUACAUUGAAUUUACUGUGUGACAUGCCAUACUGAAUUGGGACCAUUGGAAUAAUAUACUGACAUUGCACCAAAUACAUUAUUGUUAUUGAAAAUGCAGUACAGAAUUGUAGUAGUAAGUAUUAUUACUCUCCGGUUUCAUAUUAUGCAGAGCGAUAUAUUUUAAGUGGAGUUGUUUAAAAAUCUAUGACAUCAAUUAGAUUAUGACAUUUUUGUGACCAUAUGAAGUAAUUUCUAGGAUAUUCUCUUAUCACCAUUGAUGUCUACGUCCAACUUAUUGACACGAAACCUAAAAUUCAAAGUGGUCCUCACAGAAAAAAUCAUUUCUACCUAGUCAUGUCUAAAGUUUUUUUCUUCUCUCUUAGACUAUUUUUUCUAUCAUACACAUCACAUAAUAGUAUCUCAAUUUUGUUUGCUUCUUUUUUUUUUCCUUUUUCUAUCUUAGACUACUCUUUCUUCCCAAUACAUCAUACAUAGUCUUUUGUUUUUCUCCACUCCCUUAGACUAUUCUUUCUAUCUGACACAUGACUAUGAACUCCAAAUCUGAAGAAAAAUUGGUAAGCCUUGCGGCAAUAUUUUAUUGUAGUGGUUCUCUUUCAAAUACUAAUUAAUCAACAGUUUACGUUAAUUAUUCAACUAGUCUGCUUGAACUCUGAAUGGAAAGGGAGAAAAAGAGAAGGAAGGAUAAAAAAGUAUGGAAAGGUUUAUAAUCAAGGAGAUUAAAAUCCCUUCAACAGUAUACAAUUCCUAUUAUAACCUCGAUGAAAUAUGAUUGAUGGGGUUGGGAAUAAUUUUCCCUCUAAUCCCAAGUUAAUAUAUUUUCGAGUAUUGUCAAUAAUCAAGAUCUACAUUGUCAAGCUCACGAAGAGAAAACAUUCAAUAUCAUAUAAGAUUGCAAAACAUGUGCUUGGAGCCUGGAAGUAAAUGAAGUUACUAGUUAUAUACUAGAGGAAAGCAAUCUUGUUUUACUAUGUUUUGCCUGAGUUGAAACUGGAUGUCCUUAUCUUAGUAAAAUAAGUUUGAUUGCAGUUACUUGUUUUACUAUGUUUUGCGUGAGUUGGCUAUUUAUUUGAGUUAUUUAUCUCUACUUAUCUUAGAUGUUGAAACUGGAUGUCCUUCACUUAGUUGUCUCUAGACUGCUGUUGAGUUGAUUUUACUGUUUAUUCUUGGAAAGUUCAAAGGUGAGGGGUGUAGAGUUUCGUGCCAACUGUCUCAUCAAGUGGUGUGGAAAGGGUAAUCUGUUUGGUAUCUGAUCAGUUCUACAUCUGUAGAUGCUGAUCAAUCCUUUUCAUUUUUCGAUUAAAAAUGUAGUGCUAGAUGUUAGAUGGUGUAUGAAGGGAUUGCUUGGUUUAGGACUUCACCGCAUUCUCAAAGAAAAUUACAGUUGAACACAAGGAAACGUACUUCUACAUGUGGAAUGAGUGAUGUACCAUAAAAUGGUUGUCUCCAUAAUUUUCUCUCUUUGAACAAUAAGUAAAUGAACACAAUUAUUUGAGCUCACAAGUAAUUUUAUAAGUACAAAGGAUGGAACAACAAAUUAUGAAUAUUUUUUCUUUUAUUUUAAUUUUAUAGAAAUUUAUAAGUAAAAAGGUUUAUGCUCUACAAGUAAACAACCAGGUUAUAAAAAAGAGAAGUCUUUGUUAAGCAGGAAGAAAUAGUUAACCAAUGAACUAUAACAAGCAAAUUUAAAUAGUGCAAAACGAUUCAGAUUGAUAAGAAAAUAUUGUUAUUUAAGGCAAAGAAGAUUAAAACUUUUGCAGAUUUAAAUGAAUCCUUACUGCAACUGCCCAUUGCUAUCCCUACAUGUUCAACAGCAAAAUUUCCUGCUGCUCAUCUAUACUCACCUAUACUGAAGAUUAACCAAUACAUGACCGUAAACUGCAUUAUUACAUUUCAUGAUACACAAGCAGAGCGCGCAAAUUCAAUUGAACCCUGCUUUUAGCUAGACUUAUGCAUACGCAAUUAGAAAAGCUAAAACAUUUAUAAAUAUAAUCACCGUUAUUCUGAAUUCACUAACUCUAGAUUCUGAAUUGACAUAAUUACCAUGUCUUAUCAUAGAACAACCCAAGAAGUGGACCAGAGUAUUCAUCAAGUCCUUGGCUUUCUCAGAAGUUGGAUUAAAUAAAUGGAAGACAUGUCCCUCCCCUUCUGUUUCUUUUAUCCUCAAUUCACCUUUCCACCCAAUUUUCUUCAUUGUUUCGUAAUAAGUCCAAGCUCUGUCCCUCAAAUAAUCUUUACCAGCAGUAAAAACAUAAAUCUUGGAGCAUUUCAAUUUCGACAGAAUCUUCGGAUGAGCUGCUGGAUUGAAUCUUGGAUCAUCAAUCCCGUUAGUUUUCGGGCAUAAAUACGUCCAUAAGGCAUCAGGCUUACCAUUACCGAAAUAUGGAUCCACUAGUGCCAUCCCCACUGGUGACAGGACAAAAUGACUUUCCUUACUUGCACGAAUCAUGAUGUUGUUAGCAAUAUUAGCUCCAGCGCUAUCACCAGCUAAGAAAACACGAGAAAAAUUGGCAUGUUGUUUAAGCCAGGGCUCUUUCCCUCGUGCAGCCCAAUUCAUUACAUCCCAUGAAUCAUCAUAACAUGCUGGAAUUGGAUGCUCUGGAGCUAGUCUGUAAUUAAUUGAUACGACCAAUACAUUUGCCUGAGCUGUUAGCUUGUGGAGGUAACUAUCAUACAGGGGAGAAAAUGCAGACUGUAUGCAAAAGCCUCCCCCAUGGAUGUAAAAAAGAAGAGGAAAUUUCUGAUUUUUUCUACUGAUUUUGGGCAGGUAAAGUCGUGCUGAUACGUCUUUUUGAGGCAAAAUUGCAACGUCUUUGGAUUGAACUCCUGUCUUGGGAUUGUUUGAUGGAGGGACAAACUUGAUCUCUUCAUACCUAUGAACAGUUCCAUUAGCAUAAACUUGAAAAAAUGGAUACAAAUUCAGAGCUUUUCCCGCAAAGGUGGAAUUCAUACAUAGGCAGAUAGUGAUUAGAAAUAGUAAAGGAAAAUGAAGAUGAGGGGGAAAAUGUAGUGCCAUUAUUGAGUUAAGGUAGGUAGUGAAUAAAUGAAUGGAACGUAG